AACGAACGCUGGCGGCAGGCCUAACACAUGCAAGUCGAGCGAGGACUUCGGUUCUAGCGGCGGACGGGUGAGUAACGCGUGGGAAUGUGCCCUUCUCUACGGAAUAGCCCUGGGAAACUGGGAGUAAUACCGUAUACGCCCUAUUGGGGAAAGAUUUAUCGGAGAAGGAUCAGCCCGCGUUGGAUUAGGUAGUUGGUGGGGUAAUGGCCUACCAAGCCGACGAUCCAUAGCUGGUUUGAGAGGAUGAUCAGCCACACUGGGACUGAGACACGGCCCAGACUCCUACGGGAGGCAGCAGUGGGGAAUCUUAGACAAUGGGGGCAACCCUGAUCUAGCCAUGCCGCGUGAGUGAUGAAGGCCUUAGGGUUGUAAAGCUCUUUCAGCUGGGAAGAUAAUGACGGUGCCAGCAGAAGAAGCCCCGGCUAACUCCGUG
This 433-nucleotide ribosomal RNA is filed under the name uncultured bacterium. Its description in RNAcentral is "partial 16S ribosomal RNA". It matches the Rfam family "Bacterial small subunit ribosomal RNA", at positions 29 to 507 of the family's 1533-position model. The record is from RNAcentral.